RNAcentral lists this ribosomal RNA (372 nucleotides) under uncultured bacterium. RNAcentral's name for it is "bacterial SSU rRNA". It matches the Rfam family "Bacterial small subunit ribosomal RNA", at positions 524 to 898 of the family's 1533-position model. The record is from RNAcentral.
UACGGAGGAUGCGAGCGUUAUCCGGAUUUAUUGGGUUUAAAGGGUGCGUAGGCGGAUCAUUAAGUCAGUGGUGAAAUCUUUCGGCUCAACUGGAAAAUUGCCAUUGAUACUGAUGAUCUUGAAUGCAGUUGAGGUAAGCGGAAUGUGUAAUGUAGCGGUGAAAUGCUUAGAUAUUACACAGAACACCGAUUGCGAAGGCAGCUUGCUAAACUGUGAUUGACGCUGAGGCACGAAAGCGUGGGGAUCAAACAGGAUUAGAUACCCUGGUAGUCCACGCUGUAAACGAUGAUUACUCGUUGUUUGCGAUAUACAGCAAGCGACUGAGCGAAAGCAUUAAGUAAUCCACCUGGGGAGUACGUUCGCAAGAAUGAA